Odontomachus brunneus is the source of this 6416-nucleotide long non-coding RNA. RefSeq lists it as uncharacterized. The record is from RefSeq and is a predicted model, not a curated record. Lineage: Eukaryota; Metazoa; Arthropoda; Insecta; Hymenoptera; Formicidae. The transcript is spliced from 3 exons.
AGGUGGGGGAGUGCGAUAUGUGCUCGUCUUCACCCCCGAAGCCGUCCCGCGCGAGUCAUGCGAGACAUUUGUCCGAGACACGUUACAUAGAUGCGUUUUGCCGAUGUGCUGAACUGCGGAUUCUUUUUAAAGACCUCGAAGCUUUCUAAGCAACGUCGUAAAAAUGUUUGAAAGGAACUUAGAACCUCCGCACAAGACAUCCGUAACAUGUUACGUUACGUUAAGUACUGACAAUACAAUGAUCUGUAAAAUUAAACUUAAGGCACAAAGAAAUCCGUAAACUUAACAUGUUACGAAUGUUCUUGUGCGGAGGCUCUUACGGGACAGUAAUAUGUUUUUUUCAGAUUUCUUCAAAGUGUUUUCAAGAUACCUUUCAGAAGUUUCCGCUGACUGGGACAUGCACACGUUGCAGUAAACGCGCCCACUCGGUCAAGCUUCUUCAGAAGUUGGGACUGAAGAUUGAACGAGCGUGGGUGCUUUGUGAUGAUAAGUAACGUUGCACUGAGAGAAGAGUAUGGUUGAUCUAACUAAAAUCACAGUUACUUCUGGCUUCCGUACUUAUUGGUUAUGCUAACAUGAAAACAGUCAUAUGCGUGUCGGAUUAUUAUCGCUAACUUUGUAGUAAAAUUGUAAUAAAAAAGAUGUGGAGUUUCCUUAACCACAAUUUUUGUGAUUACUUUUCUAUGUGGCUGUAUUUACAAAUGUUCUUUUCUUAAUGCAACAGGAAACAAAUCGUUCGUACGAUGCAACAGCUACAUUGAUAUCUCAGAGGGAUCCUGAUUCCGGGAAAGACUUGGAAGUUGAGUGGGAACGCGGACAUCAUCCUCGUUGGGGCGUAGAAACGUUGCGGAGGAAAUCCCGCACGCUAUUCUGCGACUUAUCAUCGUCGCACUCGGACGGACGGACGGACGGAGAAGAAGGAGCAGAAGGAGGAGGUGGUGGUCCAAGGAAAUCGGUUGGGAAAACUACAAGGAGCCAACAGCGUGAAAAACGGCAAAAGACCAACCAAUGCGGAUCUAAUGUUGAAAACAAGAAAAAUAAAUGCUGAACACAGAGUUGCGUUACAGAAAGGAGUGAGUUGCCCACAAAAAGCGAAGAAAAAGAAGAAGAAACAGACAAAAGAAGAAGCAGAAAAGGACAAGAUUUGUUCUUUUGAGCCGUAGGUUACAGUAAUCCAAAAUUCCGGCAAUAAGUUACACAAACCCGUCUCUAAUGAGGAGACGUUUGUUCGCACAUUUCAUACGCUCGUUCGUUUCAAUGACGCACGUUUUCGCGCUGGAAAGUAUCGCGUCAAAAUACUUCUCGUCGCGUUGCGUCAGCUCGUCGACGCGCGAAUCGGAUACGCGCUCGGCGGUUGGCUCGUCGAAAAACGUGUUUAUCGGUUAAUUGGCAUUAUUCUUGUCGGAUGGUCGGUAACGGCCUGCCAAUUGGCACGGUCGUUAAUCGGUCGGCGAUAUAUAGGGCAGCCAAGCGACACUGUCGCGGCUCGCACGUGCGAACGUGGACGGACUGCGGCCUUGACGACGACGACGCUUGACUUCCGCUUCCGCGAUCUCGUUAUCCUCUUCGUCGCGGCGAAUGUUGUCGAGGCGACUAAUGUACGUGCGCAAGAAAGAGAGAGAGAGAGAGAGAAAGAAAGAACGAGGCUUCGACUUAUGAAUUGACAGGCACUCGUUCUUCUCGCUCCACGCACGAGCGUCACGUUUGUCGCGAAUUCCGCUUCGGUAGUUUCGCGAGAAAUAAGAAACAAUAGAGUGGAAACACUACGAGAGACGAAGCCGCGCGGAGUCCGUUUGAAGAUCCAAAAAAGAAUCCGCGCGUGUGCGAGAAGCAGCAGUUGACUUUCACCUAAGCGCACACAACGAGAAAAGACGAGGAGGGAACGAGAAGUUUUUAUUCUUUUUUAUUUCGAUUUUUAUUUUCAGAAUUUUCACGGAGGUUUUAUGUUAAUCCAGUCGCGUCGAUGGCGCUUGCGAUAAGCACGUUGCGCUGAAACCACGGCGAGAACGCGUCUCCCCCAUGACUCAGGUCGGUGACUGUUCGCGGGCGGGCGAGAUGACGUUGCGAGCGGUUUCGUGCGAGACCAACGGAAGAGCCGCCGUGAUCCGGAUGGAAUAUUAUGAAAAUGACGGAGGUGUGCGCGCGUGGAAACGCGAGGGAGGAAGAAAUCGCGUUACGUGCCGCGAGGGCGCGACGCGGAAAAAAGCUCUCAAAUCUCUUCUCUUUCUCUCCCGCUCUCAUUCUCCCUCUCGUCGAGCUUUGACUUGACGCUCGCCGCCGCCAACGACGACGACGACAGCAGCAGCAGCAACAGCAGCAGCAGCAGUAGCAACGACGCAACUCCGAUUGCAAAAAAGCUCUCGCCCUCCCGGAAAGCUUCGUUUCUCAGUGAUAUCUCUCUCUUUGCCCCUUUUCGCGCAACUCGACGCGCGUGAUUACGCACGCAGCUAUACAUUGACGCUCGCGCAAGCAAAGAUUCGUAAGCAUUUCUUCGCGCGUAUCCGCGCCUGGAGAACGAAGGAAAACUACUCGUUCAGGAUAGCGCCGAGGCGCUGUUACAAGCGAAGUCAAGAAAAAGGUACGCGACUUAUUUCACGUCCCCUAUUUCCCUUAAUAUUCGCCGGGUUAGGGUACCGAAGACGAAAGAGAGAGAGAGAGAAGCAGAGACACGGCUGGUUACUUUUCAUCCGUCAAGUCCAUCGGAGCGACGGGCUGCGGAAAGAGCCUCUGGUACGGGUCGAAUCGAAGCAAGGAAUGAGAGCGAGACGAUAAGGUGAUCGUCGUCGUCGUCAUCAUGGAGGGUGGAGGAAGAAAACAGGCAGGAGAAGAAGAAAGAGGAGAGCGGAGGAAUAGGAGGAGAAGGAGGAGGAGGAGGAGUAGCUCGGUGGUGUACCGUCGCAACGCAACGCGACGCGACGCGACGCCGCGCGCCGUAACCGGCCCUGCUUGCUCGAGGUUCUACUUGAUUGCCAAGGCGUCUUAACCUCGGCCUCGUAGCAGCAACGGCAGCCAGCAUCAGCAGCAGCAGUGGCGACGACGACGACGGCGGCGGCACUAGCAGUCUCAGCAACCAACAACGGCGUCCGCGCGGACCGCUCGACUGAAGCUCCGACGACGCGAUAGUCACCUAUAAGAAUCGCGCUCGACGCGGCGUAGCCAACCUGUGAGCAUAAAAAUACGCGGCGACGCCCCGGCUCGAAUAAAGAGGCGUCGUCGAUCGGUGAAAAAGGCCAAUCCGACCGAAAGAACGCCGGCUCGCCGGCCAAUCUCACGCGCGCGCUUUAGUACCCGACGACAGCUGGUCGUCGAGUCCGCGCGGACACUGUGUGCACGUCGGACGUAUCUCUACCUAUGGACCUACCUACCUACCUACCUACCUACCUUACCUACCUUACCUACCUAUCUACCUACCUAUCAACCUACCUAUCUACCAACCUACCUACCUACCUACCUACCUACCUACCUACCUACCUACCAACCUACCUACCUACCAAUCUACCUACCAACCUACCUACCUACCUACCUACCUAUCUACCAACCUACCUUACCUACAUCUACCUAGCUAUCUCUAUAACUUUGCUACCUAUCUACCUACUUAUUUAUUAACCUAGCUGUCUAUCUAUAUAUCUACCUAUCAACCAACCUACAUCUACCUAACUUCUAUCUACGUCUGCCUAUUCAUACAUAUAUCUACGUAUCUGCAUCUACUUACUACAUUUAUCUACCUACUUAUAUAUACUUGUGUCUACCUAUUUACACCUUAUCUACUUACUUACCCAGACAGCAUAAAAUGUUUCAGAAUUAUCUUGAAUGUGACUAGAAUGUCUUCGAUAUCGUAGAAUGUAUCAGAAUAUCUUAAAACGCAUUCUGAGGAUGUUCAGAAUAAUCUCAAGGUGUUCUGUUAUUUGGUAUUAUCUAUACUGAGAAAAAAUGCUUGAUAUUUGUAUAACUAUAAUCACGUAGAGAAAUAAUUACUAAAAGUUAUAGUCAAAAGAAUUUUUUUUCUUUUAUUAAAUUCUACUAUAGUAUUAAUGAUAAUAUAACCUUAUGUAUAUAUUACUAUUACUACUUUCGUAUUAAGACAACCAAAAGAAUACUUAUAAUUUUAAUUAGAUGAAGGAUUUUUUUCUCAGUGUGCCUAAUUAUCUUUUUUUCUUAUGCUUGUCUACAUGCUUCUUUUCGCGAUAGCACGUACGUAAAGUGUGUACGUAUAUGUGGACGUAUGUGGUGUACGCACAGUGAUCGAGGGUACAUUUCGGAAAGAGAGAAAAAGAGCGAGUAGCAAAGAUAGAAGAACAUAGGGUUGUAUUCCCGUCGGUCUCUCCUGUUCCGGGCACUGUAAAUGACGACGAAGAUGACGAUGGCUGUUCCAGCGGCAGCGGGAACGUCGUCUUCGUCGCGCAGCCGGCGCGAAAAAACGCCAAGUCGUAGCGGGAGAUGCCGUUGUCGUCGCGUAGGUCGUCGUCGUCGUGUCGUCGUGUUGGUCUGUGACCAAUUAAUGCCGACGCCUUUUCUUUUUCCAGAUAUCUCGAAAUAGUUGGACGAUGUUCGUACUCGAUAGCCGACGACGAGUCGGAGAAACAUUCGGUCAAGCAUGUAACGAUCGCCUCUUCAUCCUCUGCUGGUCUUCUUUCCGCUCUUUCCCCCUCUCCUCUGCUGGUCGGAAAAGAGAUAUUACGUGACGUUACAUUGUAUCUCGUCUGGGAAAAAGAGGAAAUGAUCCCGACCGUAACCUGAACUCGACGACCGCCUGGUCGUUUCAGUUCAUAUUGCGCGCGAAUAUGUAGUCGCCGUGUCAGGUCGCCACGUAUAUCGCUCGAUCGCGCGCUAAUAUCGCCGACGAAUUAAAGACUGCUUAUCUACCCGAUGUAGCUCAAUCGAUCGCGAUCGAAUCGCUCGUUCGGCAUAUAUAAGAAUCAUAGAGUUCCGAGUAAGACGCAGGGAUAACGAGAUAUCUUCUACGGAAAUUCAAUCACUUCGUUCCUCGGCGUAAGAACGAACGCUGUAAACACACUGCGGGGAUCAUCGAUCGGAGAUUUUUCCCAAGAUCAGUCCGGCGAUCUGGAUUGAAUCGUCGCGAAAACCCGUGCUCGAGAGAGAUCCGUUACUGUCAAUCGCGCGCGGCCGAUCGAAAUCGAAUUUACGGACGGCUCGCUAACUCGCUCGUUCACUCGAGCCGAAUGAAAUUCCAGCGAUAUCGCCCCAAGUCGCUUCGAGGCAAACGAGCUAAAAAUUGCGAGCUGUCCCCUUUCUACCGCGUUACGGUUCUCGAUUAUGAUGUCGAUAAUGACAGUUGGCGCACUCGGGCUCGCGAACGAUUAUGAAAAUGCAAUCGAGGAUAUCCAGUUCUCCUCCAGCGCGGAGGAGGCGAACCCAACCAACCAGCAAGCGAGCGAGCAAGCGGCUGGAUACCGAUGCUGGAGUCCGAUUUCUUUCCGACGGGCGUGAUAGCCAGUCGCGCGUGUAACUAACGGCUGCACUCUCGCCUUUUACAGAUGUUACACGCCACGGCGCCGCGUGAUUACAUCGCCGCGAUCUACGAUCCGAUGUCGAAUUAGCGAUAAGUAAAAGGAAAUCGAUGAGACCGAACACAAUCGACCGAGUCGUAACGAUGAGUCAUACUUGAAAUAUACUUCCGUUUCUCAUUUACCGUUCGCUCUGCGUGUUCUCCGACUUGUCAAUCAGUUGAGUCACGCCGUUCACAAAGAUAUCUUCCUCAUUGGCAUUUCACGUGCGUUAAUUUCGAUCGUUGAGCCGCACUUACCGUAUUUUUUCUCGUUGCCUCGGACCAAUUUCCUCGGCGCGGUAUCCUUGGGGUUUCAGUCUCCAACGAUCUUAUCGCUCGGGACACUCGAAGGGAGAAAAAAGACGGAGAGACAGAGGAAAAGGGAUACACAAUUUUAUUUUAUUAAUAUUUCCUUUCCUCGUACAACUGUUGGUGGACAUUAGAACGAUUAACUUUUACUUCCACGUACGCUAUGUUUACCAUAGUCGCGCCUAGUCAAUACGUAUAGAUUUGCCAGCGAUUCGCUCGUCGUAUAGAAAGACUCCGUCCCGUAAACAGCCCGGGGGCAUCGUUCAUCGGACGUCGAAAAUUAAUUGUCUAUACAAAAUAUCCGACAAGAUUCCGGUGAGGCUCACAUACGCGCAUAACGUCGUACUUCGAUAAAGUGUCGCGUUAACGCAAAGUGUUCUCCCAAAUGCGAUUCUACGGAAAAAGGUGUGUAUGUGUGUGUGUGUGUGUGUGUGUGUGUGUGUGUGUGUGUGUAUGUGUGAGAGAGAGAGAGAGAAAGACAGAUCGAAUUCAGCCUAUUUUAUCCUUUAUUUUAGGAGUCAUCCCGAGUCGUCUGUUGCAUAUAUACGCUGCAACCCGGAACGGCCAAUUUGAGAAAAUGAAAGAGAAAUUACAAAGAAAA